AACAAAACAAAACCAAAAUGGGUUCUUAGCCCCGAUCCCCGCACGGGAUUUUCCCGGAUUUUUUUUUUGUGUCAACCUAGCAUCACUCCGACACUCCGUCUACGAUGCGUCGAUGCCUGUACUGUCUAUCCAGAUUCCAGACUUCACUUUCCAGUGUAUAUUUUGGUCAAUAUUACUUUACAGGAAGUCGGGGACAGUUAUAUUUUUCAAAUCUUGGUUGAGCGAGGCUACAGAUCCCCACUAUCUAUUUCCCCCCUAAUCUCAGAAAUUUCUUCAACAAAGUAUCAGGGUUUUAGAUUGACAAUUUUUUCUCCAUCUUAAUUAGUUUAAUUUGAUUAUUGUCAGAAUGUCGUCUCGAUUUAAUACUAAUCAGUUACAACCUGGAAGGCAAUGAGAAAGAAUUUCAAUGGAGGUAGUACUACAAUAGCUACCGGUAGUGGUGGUGCUGUAGGUAAAGAGAAAUUGUCAUAUUCUGAACCAAAUUCAGCUCAAAGUACUCCUUCUAGGAGUCUUCCAAAGAGUGUUUCGGUAACAGGAUGUGUUAAAUUUCAUCCAGGUGGUGAUGUAGGAAUGAGAGGAGGAGGAGGAAGUUAUUCUAAAGUUUGUAGAAGGGUUUCAAUGUUCUCUCUGAUUUUGAGCUUUUUGAAGAUCCAUAUUUCUAGAUGUAUCAUCAUGUUCAGGUUUUAGACCGAUUAGUAAUGCAGAGAAGGUUACUAAGGGAUUUUUAUAUUUUUGAGACAGCACAACGCACAUACUCUAACAUGGCUUGGGAAUCGUGAAACUAGGUUUACUUUUGAUCAUUGUUGCGUAUGAGACGAUAUCACAGGAGAAGCUAUUCAUGGUUGUUGGUUUCCCCAUGGUAGAGGAUCAUGUCAGGGUAUAAUAGUUGUAUGUUUGCUUACAAUCAGACGGGGAGUGGUAAGACAUAUACUAUGAUGAGAGAGGUACAUGAGAUGGAUAGAUAUCUUAACGAAGACUGUGGGAUGACUCUUUGUAUUUUUGAAUAUUUGUUUAUGAGGAUUCGAGAUGAAGAUUAGAACCCGCAGGGAAGAAAAGUGAAAGUACAGCUGCAAGUGUUCCUUUCUUGAGAUUUACAAUAAGCAAAUAACUGAUCUCUUGGAACCCUCAUCUAAUCUUCAGGCAGAAAACCUCUGGUGCUGAAGGAGAGCUCUUGAAAGAAGCCGCAAACAUCAACGAAUCACUAUCAACUCUUGGUACGAGUUGGGAGUCCAUGGUUCGCGAAGUGAAGAGAGACUAAUCAGCCUCCAUUUAUGUGGCAUUACCAUCGGAAAUAACAGAGAAAAGUUCAAUGAGGCCAACAGGAUCUAGCUCACCCUUUUAGAUGCAUCCAGGGUUUGGUUCACCAUGUGAGAAUAGAGAAAGAUCAAGAGUUAUCAAUGGCCAGACUUCGAUAGAAGAGCUGCAGGCAUUGUCGCCUAAACAACAAAAAGAAACUUGCAGCAGCUGAAAGCAUGAGACGUGAUGUGUGAUUAGGGAUUUACUUGCCGUCAAACUGGACCUCACUAGCUAUGCGUAGAAGUCUUAGCUGAUCUAUUUGUCUCUCAGGUAAGCAUGUUAAAUGCAAGACUUGCAGCAGCCGAAAGCAUGACACAUGAUGUGAUUGGGGAUUUACUAGCUAUGCAGUAAGUUUAGAAUAGCAUUUGAUGCAGUCAUCAAAUGAAUUCUUCUUUAAGUUACUUUUCUCAAUGUUCUGAGUAUUUUUUGUCUUUUUUACUGGAAUCCCGAACUUGAUAGACCAGCACGAGGUUCAGAAGUUGAAGAAGCUCAGAAACAAACAAAAGAGUCCAUUGCAGGAGCAAGAAAUUAUGAAUUUGAGGAAGCAAAUGAUACAAGUGAUUUGUUGGAGGAAAGACAAAGAAUAGAUGGAGAGGAAAAAUGGACGAAACGGUGAAGAAACAAUUUGAGUCACAGAAUUCCCAACUAAGGGUUCAAUAUAAGAUGAAGGGAAGAAGGAAAACUGCUUCUCAAGGGAUGGUAAUGCGGAAUUUAGCAAGAGGCUAGUGCAUUCAGAUAAGUUCCUAUCUGGUAGCAGAAACCUUUUAGUCUUCAUCCAUAUAAUCAGUAUGACGAGGAAAGGCACACAAACAAAAUACAGGAACACGAAGAUGAUUCCAAUUAGCCCAAGCGAGCCUUGAAAAAUGACAUCUUUCAGAGAAAACAUGUUAAAUUAGUAAAACUCUAAUUAUUACUGUUCAUAUACAUAUUUUGUGUAUGUUAAUUUAGUACUACAACAAAUAGUAGUACUAAAUCAAUUUGUUUAACUUGGAAAUCAAUUUGUUUCCAAUCUUGC
RNA transcript from Papaver somniferum (opium poppy), 2311 nucleotides. It is a transcript of the gene named kinesin-like protein KIN-12F, with no coding region annotated. The transcript is spliced from 12 exons. Lineage: Eukaryota; Viridiplantae; Streptophyta; Magnoliopsida; Ranunculales; Papaveraceae. The record is from RefSeq and is a predicted model, not a curated record.